This 497-nucleotide ribosomal RNA is filed under the name uncultured bacterium. RNAcentral's name for it is "partial 16S ribosomal RNA". It matches the Rfam family "Bacterial small subunit ribosomal RNA", at positions 28 to 507 of the family's 1533-position model. The record is from RNAcentral.
GAUGAACGCUGGCGGCGUGCCUAAUACAUGCAAGUCGAGCGAACAGACGAUGAUCUUGCUCCUCUGACGUUAGCGGCGGACGUGUGAGUAACACGUGUAUAACCUACCUUUAAUACUGGGAUAACUUCGGGAAACCGUAUCUAAUACCGGCUAAUAUCUUGAACCGCAUUGUUCAUUAGUUAAUGACGGUUUUGCUGUCUCUUAUAGAUGGUUCCGCGCCGCAUUAGCUAGUUGGUAAGGUAACGGCUUACCAAGGCAACGAUUCGUAGCCGACGUGAGAGGGUGAUCGGCGACACUGGAACGGAGACACGGACCAGACUCCUACGGGAGGCAGCAGUAGGGAAUCUUCCGCAAUGGGCGAAAGCCUGACGGAGCAACGCCGAGUGAGUGAUGAAGGUCUUCGGAUCGUAAAACUCUGUUAUUAGGGAAGAACAAAUGUGUAAGUAACUAUGCACGUCUUGACGGUACCUAAUCAGAAAGCCACGGCUAACUACGUG